Cylas formicarius (sweet potato weevil) is the source of this 751-nucleotide long non-coding RNA. RefSeq lists it as uncharacterized. The record is from RefSeq and is a predicted model, not a curated record. Lineage: Eukaryota; Metazoa; Arthropoda; Insecta; Coleoptera; Brentidae. The transcript has 4 exons.
CGGGGGGUGCUGUUUGCUUACAAUCCGACCCUGCUUCGUGUACAAAUGCAAUGUCAUUUCGGCAGGGCUAUAGGCUACGAAACCUUUCGAACUCGAAAAGGCACUACUAAUUUUGAAUAGAUCGAUGAAACUCGUCAAGCGGAAUCCGAGAAGAAAAAUGACGGAUGUGCUGUUUGCUGAUAGUCCAGAACGGCUUCGUGUACAAAUGCAUGGCGGGGAGACCAGAAAGUUUUCGAAACUGCGUGAGUGGAAGUCUGCGUUGGACAAAUUUUGAAAAUAUCUGAAGGUUUAACGAAUUUUGGAGAAUUCGACAGAGCUACAGACUACGAAACCUUUCGAAACGAACACACGUGUCCUGUUGAACUUGAAAAAAACGAAAUUAUUUUUAAAAAGAUCAUGGUAACUCGUGAAGCAACAUCUCAGAAUUGAAUCGGGGAAUGAGGAAUCAAAAAAAAGGUUAACAAUUUGGAUCAUUUUGGAAGAUACAUACGCCGCGCUUUUCAAAGCGGACAGACGUGCCCUUGUCCAACUGAAACGAACACACGUGUCCUGUUGAACUUGAAAAAAGACGAAAUUAUUUUUAAAAAGAUCAUGGUAACUCGUGAAGCAACAUCUCAGAAUUGAAUCGGCGAGUUGUGUAUUUGCUGCCAAUCCGAGCCUGCUUGGAUCAUUUUGGAAGAUACAUACGCCUGCGCUUUUCAAAGCGGACAGACGUGCCCGUGUCCAACUUGACAAAGGCGGAAUUAUUUUA